RNAcentral lists this long non-coding RNA (426 nucleotides) under Cyanistes caeruleus (blue tit). RNAcentral's name for it is "lncRNA (ENSCCEG00000020347.1)". The record is from RNAcentral. Lineage: Eukaryota; Metazoa; Chordata; Aves; Passeriformes; Paridae.
AUGAGAACAGGAAAAGGAAAAAGCUGCAUAGCCUCUCUCCCUGUUGCAGUUCCUCCAAAGCAUCUGUUAAUAAUAAUGCAAAAGUGCAGAAGACAGGAAGAGAGGGAAGCAGUGAACAGGUUCCUGCCACACUCUCCUCUGAAUGUUUGCACAGUGUUGUUUUUACCAGGUGUCCUGGUGUCCUUAUAAAAGAGCCACUUGGUCAUGAGGAGUUGUGCUCUUUCCAUCUGUGACGUGCUUCAUCAGGAGCAGGUGUGAUGGCAGUCAGAUGAGUGCAGACAAGCCAGCAGGAGGGCACUUCAGCCCUCCUGGGAAGGAGUAAAAAAGUGAAUGAAGACAUGAGAGUAUCUGUAACAGAGCAGAGCCAAGAGGUAAGAAGCAGAAAAUGGUACACAAAGUGAAGGAUUUGGGAGAUUAUUGUUUGAG